This 301-nucleotide ribosomal RNA is filed under the name uncultured bacterium. RNAcentral's name for it is "partial 16S ribosomal RNA". It matches the Rfam family "Bacterial small subunit ribosomal RNA", at positions 509 to 807 of the family's 1533-position model. The record is from RNAcentral.
CAGUCGCCGCGGUAAUACGUAGGGUCCGAGCGUUGUCCGGAAUUAUUGGGCGUAAAGGGCUCGUAGGCGGUUUGUCGCGUCGGGAGUGAAAACCAGCAGCUUAACUGCUGGCCUGCUUUCGAUACGGGCAGACUUGAGGCAUUCAGGGGAGAACGGAAUUCCUGGUGUAGCGGUGAAAUGCGCAGAUAUCAGGAGGAACACCGGUGGCGAAGGCGGUUCUCUGGGAAUGUUCUGACGCUGAGGAGCGAAAGUGUGGGGAGCGAACAGGAUUAGAUACCCCGGUAGUCUCUGUCUCUUAUAC